RNAcentral lists this long non-coding RNA (885 nucleotides) under Homo sapiens (human). RNAcentral's name for it is "HSALNT0051860". Lineage: Eukaryota; Metazoa; Chordata; Mammalia; Primates; Hominidae. The record is from RNAcentral.
ACGCCGCCGCCGCCACCACCACCGCCAUAGAUACACUCUCAUCCUACGGGCCACGCCUGGGCCUUGCUGCCAGGAAGCUUCGGCCCCGCAGCUCGGCUUGCUGCGGUCUCAGGUUUCUUUACCUCCAGAAAGAAGAAUAUUGGCCCCUUGAAUUCUGGAAGUUCAUUGAAGAGUCUGAAAUUAGGGACUUAUUUCAAAUUUGGACAUGGCUAGUCGAGGCGCAACAAGACCCAACGGGCCAAAUACGGGAAAUAAAAUAUGCCAGUUCAAACUAGUACUUCUGGGAGAGUCCGCUGUUGGCAAAUCAAGCCUAGUGCUUCGUUUUGUGAAAGGCCAAUUUCAUGAAUUUCAAGAGAGUACCAUUGGGGGUGGAUAUCAUAUGUUACACUCUUGAUUUGUGGAUUCUGGAUUCAUUAAGAAUAUCAAGAUUUCUUCUGUAAUUUGUGUGGUUCUUCCUAAAUACAAUAACUUGAUUUACGAAUUCCUGUUGCGCUGUGUGCGGUGGCUUGCAUCUGUAAUCCCAGCACUUUGGGAAGCUGAGGUGGGCAGAUCGCUUGAGUCCAGGAGUUUGAGACCAGCCUGGCCAACAUAGCAAAACCCCGUCUUUACAAAAAAUACGAAAAUUAACCGGGCAUGGUGGCACACACCUGUAGUCCCAGCUACUGAGAAGGCUGAAAUGGGAGAAUUGCUUGAACUGAAGAGGCGGAGGUUACAGUGAGCCGAGACUGCACCACCACACUCCAGCCUGGGUGACAGUGAGAACCCUGUCUCAAAAACAAAACAAAACAAAGAAUCCCUGUUGCCUCACCAUACUUCAUGCAUCCUACCCCUAUAGCACUUCUGAUGAAAUUGCGUGCCGUAGAUUUAGCAAUUUAGAGAAUUCUA